Pipra filicauda (Wire-tailed manakin) is the source of this 653-nucleotide long non-coding RNA. RefSeq lists it as uncharacterized. The record is from RefSeq and is a predicted model, not a curated record. Lineage: Eukaryota; Metazoa; Chordata; Aves; Passeriformes; Pipridae. The transcript is spliced from 3 exons.
GCAGGGCUUCACUAUUUCCUGCUGGACUUCUGGGGUCGAGAGGGUAUGACUCCACCAGUGUAUUUCCCUUUCCCUAAUACUUCUGAGUCUCUCCACUUCUUACUCGAGCUCUGCCACUAAGCACAGCAAAUCAUUUACUCGCAUCGUAUGCAGGCGUCUCUCGCGCUGUCCUCUGGUACCGACGCCAGGCUCAGACACUCUGGGCAGCCAGAGACCUGCACGGCUGCGUCCUUCCUGGGGGUUCUGCCUGGGUUAGCACACUCCCCCUGAGAGCAGCAGCAACGGCUCUCGCUCCUUUGGAAACCAUUGCUGGGUCGAGUCAUAAGGCUGCUGAUUGUGAGAUGGAACAUAUUCUAGUGUAACAUUUGCAAAUGUAAUAGCUGUUGUCUCAAAACCACGGACAAAUUAGAUGGGGAGACUGGAAUCUCAGAUGUGUUCAAAAGCAAUGUAACUGAAUAUGAAGCAACACACUAAGCAACAUCCAAGACUAAUGUCUACUACAGUGAACCAAGUAUUUGUGCUCAUUUCUAGUUCUAAACAGAUUUCAACCAUGCAAGAAAAGGACCUGCAUGCCACUGCUGACAUUUCAGUCGAAAUGUUUGUUCAAGAAACUCAUUUGUAUUGAAAGCAAAUAAAUAAAACUUGAUUGAAUA